This 27-nucleotide non-coding RNA is filed under the name Homo sapiens (human). The record is from RNAcentral. Lineage: Eukaryota; Metazoa; Chordata; Mammalia; Primates; Hominidae.
CCAGGGCUUCUUGUGCCAAAGUUCAGG